UACAGAGGUCUCAAGCGUUGUUCGGAUUCAUUGGGCGUAAAGGGUGCGUAGGCGGCGCGGUAAGUCGGGUGUGAAAUCUCGGAGCUUAACUCCGAAACUGCAUUCGAUACUGCCGUGCUUGAGGACUGGAGAGGAGACUGGAAUUUACGGUGUAGCGGUGAAAUGCGUAGAUAUCGUAAGGAAGACCAGUGGCGGAGGCGGGUCUCUGGACAGUUCCUGACGCUGAGGCACGAAGGUCAGGGGAGCAAACGGG
This 253-nucleotide ribosomal RNA is filed under the name uncultured bacterium. RNAcentral's name for it is "partial 16S ribosomal RNA". It matches the Rfam family "Bacterial small subunit ribosomal RNA", at positions 524 to 776 of the family's 1533-position model. The record is from RNAcentral.